This 200-nucleotide ribosomal RNA is filed under the name uncultured bacterium. RNAcentral describes it as "partial 16S ribosomal RNA". It matches the Rfam family "Bacterial small subunit ribosomal RNA", at positions 30 to 231 of the family's 1533-position model. The record is from RNAcentral.
AUUGAACGCUGGCGGCAUGCCUUACACAUGCAAGUCGAACGGUGGCGCGGGCUUCGGCCUGGCGACGAGUGGCGAACGGGUGAGUAAUAUAUCGGAACGUGCCCUAGAGUGGGGGAUAACUAGUCGAAAGAUUAGCUAAUACCGCAUACGAUCUAAGGAUGAAAGUGGGGAUCGCAAGACCUCAUGCUCAUGGAGCGGCC